GAUGCUAAUGCUAGAAUUUCUUCGAUCCUGCGUGAUCUUUAGUGGAGGCACACUAGAUUGUCUUAAUUUUGAUGUUAGACCGGUCCAUUAUUAUAAUGGCCAUUUGUGGCUAGUUUUUAUUGGGCCUUUGUGGCUAGUAGCUUUUUUGAUUGAAUUAUGAAUGCAAUUCUAGAAUUUCUCCACAAAAAAGAAAAAGAAAAAAAUAAAGAAGACACUGCAUGAGAUACCAUAAAAGCAACACGUAAAAUGUGCCAAUGGAGUCUAGCUCAGAGGAAAAUAGUAUUAGCUUGCAAAUCAUUGGUCUCAAAUUCGAACAUUGAUGACAAAAAAA
RNAcentral lists this long non-coding RNA (331 nucleotides) under Prunus persica (peach). Its description in RNAcentral is "long non-coding RNA (PPER_LNC002324)". Lineage: Eukaryota; Viridiplantae; Streptophyta; Magnoliopsida; Rosales; Rosaceae. The record is from RNAcentral.